RNAcentral lists this ribosomal RNA (650 nucleotides) under Georgfuchsia sp. SYC60. RNAcentral's name for it is "partial 16S ribosomal RNA". It matches the Rfam family "Bacterial small subunit ribosomal RNA", at positions 868 to 1505 of the family's 1533-position model. The record is from RNAcentral. Lineage: Bacteria; Pseudomonadati; Pseudomonadota; Betaproteobacteria; Nitrosomonadales; Sterolibacteriaceae.
CCCGCCUGGGGAGUACGCCCCGCAAGGUUAAAACUAAAAAAGAAUUGGGGGGGGGCCCCCACAAGCAGUGGAUGAUGUGUUUUAAUUAGAUGCAACGAGAAGAACCUCCCCUCCCUUCGACAUCCAGAGAACUUAGCAGAGAUGGUUUGGUGCUUUAGGGAAAUAACACACACCCCCAGCAGGUGUGUGGAAAAAACAUGUUGGGAAAGGAAGGAAAAAAGUCCCCGCACCGGGCGCACCCCCUUUCCCUUUUUUUCCCUCCGUUCGGCGGGGCACUCUAAGGAGACUGCCCGGGGGAAAAACCCGGAGGAAGGUGGGGGAUGACGUCAAGUCCUCAUGGCCCUUUAUGGGGGGGGCUACACACGUCAUACAAUGGUCGGUACAGAGGGUUGCCAACCCGCGAGGGGGACCCAAUCCCAAAAACCCAGUCGUAGUCCGGAUCGCAGUCUGCAACUCGACUCCGUGAAGUCGGAAUCGCUAGUAAUCGUGGAUCAGAAUGCCACGGUGAAUACGUUCCCGGGUCUUUUUUACGCGCCCCCCGUCCCCCCAUGGAACUGGUCUGCACCCCCCCUUUUUACCUUAACCUUAAGGAGGGCGCUUACCACGGUGUGAUCAUGACAUGGGGGGAAGUGAACCCCAGGACCCUCCCA